Molecule: non-coding RNA, 72 nt
Organism: Ictidomys tridecemlineatus (thirteen-lined ground squirrel)
Lineage: Eukaryota; Metazoa; Chordata; Mammalia; Rodentia; Sciuridae
Source: Rfam
UGAGGUGUAGCUCAGUGGUAGAGUGCUUGCCUAGCAAGCAUGAAGCCCUGGAUUCAAUCCUCAGUAACACAA